CUGCAGCCCGAGUGGUGAUCGAUUUUAUUGAGCCUAAAGCGUCCGUAGCCGGACCAGUAAACCCUUGGGUAAAUUGGGCAGCUUAACUGUCCAAAUUCCGAGGGGACUGCUAGUCUUGGGACCGGGAGAGGUCAGAGGUACUCAAGGGGUAGGGGCUAAAUCCUGUAAUCCUUUGGGGACCACCAGUGGCGAAGGCGUCUGAAUAGAACGGAUCCGACGGUAAGGGACGAAACCCUGGGGCGCGAACCGGAUUAGAGACCCGAGUAGUCC
Molecule: ribosomal RNA, 270 nt
Filed under: uncultured archaeon
Lineage: Archaea
Description: partial 16S ribosomal RNA
Rfam family: Archaeal small subunit ribosomal RNA
Source: RNAcentral